Molecule: ribosomal RNA, 439 nt
Filed under: uncultured bacterium
Lineage: Bacteria
Description: partial 16S ribosomal RNA
Rfam family: Bacterial small subunit ribosomal RNA
Source: RNAcentral
CUACGGGGGGCUGCAGUGAGGAAUAUUGCACAAUGGGGGGAACCCUGAUGCAGCAACGCCGCGUGGAGGAUGACGCAUUUCGGUGUGUAAACUCCUUUUAUAUGUCAAGAAAAUGACGGUAGCAUAUGAAUAAGCACCGGCUAACUCCGUGCCAGCAGCCGCGGUAAUACGGAGGGUGCAAGCGUUACUCGGAAUCACUGGGCGUAAAGGGCGCGUAGGCGGGUUGGAAAGUCAGGUGUGAAAUCCUACAGCUUAACUGUAGAACUGCACUUGAAACUUCUAAUCUAGAGUAUGGGAGGGGGAGAUGGAAUUAGUGGUGUAGGGGUAAAAUCCGUAGAUAUCACCAGGAAUACCUAAAGCGAAGGCGAUCUCCUGGAACAUUACUGACGCUAAGGCGUGAAAGCGUGGGGAGCAAACAGGAUUAGAUACCCUAGUAGUC